RNAcentral lists this ribosomal RNA (446 nucleotides) under uncultured bacterium. Its description in RNAcentral is "bacterial SSU rRNA". It matches the Rfam family "Bacterial small subunit ribosomal RNA", at positions 330 to 792 of the family's 1533-position model. The record is from RNAcentral.
GCCAGACUCCUACGGGAGGCAGCAGUGGGGGAUAUUGCACAAUGGGGGAAACCCUGAUGCAGCGACGCCGCGUGAGUGAAGAAGUAUUUCGGUAUGCAAAGCUCUAUCAGCAGGGAAGAAAAAAGACGGUACCUGACUAAGAAGCCCCGGCUAACUACGUGCCAGCAGCCGCGGUAAUACGUAGGGGGCAAGCGUUAUCCGGAUUUACUGGGUGUAAAGGGAGCGUAGACGGCAAUACAAGUCGGAAGUGAAAUACCCGGGCUCAACCUGGGAACUGCUUUGGAAACUGUAUGGCUGGAGUGCUGGAGAGGUAAGCGGAAUUCCUAGUGUAGCGGUGAAAUGCGUAGAUAUUAGGAGGAACACCAGUGGCGAAGGCGGCCUGCUGGGCUUUUACUGACGCUGAGGCUCGAAAGUGUGGGGAGCAAACAGGAUUAGAUACCCUGGUA